AACGAACGCUGGCGGCAUGCCUAACACAUGCAAGUCGAACGAGACCUUCGGGUCUAGUGGCGCACGGGUGCGUAACGCGUGGGAACCUGCCCUUAGGUUCGGAAUAACUCCCCGAAAGGGGUGCUAAUACCGGAUAAUGUCUUCGGACCAAAGAUUUAUCGCCUUUGGAUGGGCCCGCGUUGGAUUAGCUAGUUGGUAGGGUAAAAGCCUACCAAGGCGACGAUCCAUAGCUGGUCUGAGAGGAUGAUCAGCCACACUGGGACUGAGACACGGCCCAGACUCCUACGGGAGGCAGCAGUGGGGAAUAUUGGACAAUGGGCGAAAGCCUGAUCCAGCAAUGCCGCGUGAGUGAUGAAGGCCUUAGGGUUGUAAAGCUCUUUUACCCGGGAUGAUAUGACAGUACCGGGAGAAUAAGCUCCGGCUAACUCCGUG
Molecule: ribosomal RNA, 432 nt
Filed under: uncultured bacterium
Lineage: Bacteria
Description: partial 16S ribosomal RNA
Rfam family: Bacterial small subunit ribosomal RNA
Source: RNAcentral